RNAcentral lists this unclassified non-coding RNA (658 nucleotides) under Hevea brasiliensis (rubber tree). The record is from RNAcentral. Lineage: Eukaryota; Viridiplantae; Streptophyta; Magnoliopsida; Malpighiales; Euphorbiaceae.
GGAAUCAUACCUGGGCUUAAGGUAAGAGGAACAGACUAUAAGACAGCAGACGGUACCUGCAUAAGGGAUUAUAUAGACGUGACCGAUCUGGUUGAUGCUCAUGUUAAAGCUCUUGAGAAGGCUAGGCCAGGGAAAGUUGGGAUCUACAAUGUUGGAACAGGAAGAGGCAGAUCAGUGAAAGAAUUUGUGGAGGCUUGUAAGGUAGCAACUGGAGUACCUAUCAAAGUUGAGUUCCUUCCCCGUAGGCCUGGUGAUUAUGCAGAAGUUUACAGCGAUCCAACUAAGAUUAGGAAUGAACUGAACUGGACAGCCAAAUACACUGAUCUUCAACAGAGUUUGCAGAUUGCAUGGAGAUGGCAGAAGUCACAUCUUAAUGGUUAUAGUUUAUCGGUGGCAACAUCCUGAUGACGCCUCUAUCAACUUAUGGUUGUUUAAGACUUGACUUGAACCUGGUGUCACAGCUGAACUUAACGUCGAACUAUUAGUAUCCAUAAAGUACAAUUUUCAAGGCCAAGAGGGGUAUGAUGUGUAUUGUGACAAUAGGCAGCAGUUUAUUUACCCAUUUGUUAUGUGUAUUUAGUAAAAGGGAUAUUUCAAAUCAAUAAUAGUUCCCAUUCAGGUAUAGCUUCCAUCUGUUUUACUUCCUUUUUUGUGUACA